GGGGGAUAGCCCGAAGAAAUUCGGAUUAACACCGCAUAAAAACACAGAAUAGCAUUAUUCAAUGUUCAAAUAUUUAUAGGAUUAAGAUGGGCAUGCGUGUCAUUAGCUAGUUGGCGGGGUAACGGCCCACCAAGGCGACGAUGACUAGGGGAUCUGAGAGGAUGACCCCCCACACUGGUACUGAGACACGGACCAGACUCCUACGGGAGGCAGCAGUAAGGAAUAUUGGUCAAUGGAGGCAACUCUGAACCAGCCAUGCCGCGUGCAGGAAGACGGCCCUAUGGGUUGUAAACUGCUUUUAUCUGGGAAUAAACCUUUUUACGUGUAAGAAGCUGAAUGUACCAGAAGAAUAAGGAUCGGCUAACUCCGUGCCAGCAGCCGCGGUAAUACGGAGGAUCCAAGCGUUAUCCGGAUUUAUUGGGUUUAAAGGGUGCGUAGGCGGCCUGUUAAGUCAGAGGUGAAAGACGGUAGCUCAACUAUCGCAGUGCCUUUGAUACUGACGGGCUUGAAUAAACUAGAGGUAGGCGGAAUGAGACAAGUAGCGGUGAAAUGCAUAGAUAUGUCUCAGAACACCGAUUGCGAAGGCAGCUUACUAUGGUUUUAUUGACGCUGAGGCACGAAAGCGUGGGGAUCAAACAGGAUUAGAUACCCUGGUAGUCCACGCCCUAAACGAUGAAUACUCGCUGUUAGCGAUAUACAGUUAGCGGCUAAGCGAAAGCGUUAAGUAUUCCACCUGGGGAGUACGCUCGCAAGAGUGAAACUCAAAGGAAUUGACGGGGGCCCGCACAAGCGGAGGAGCAU
This 801-nucleotide ribosomal RNA is filed under the name Sphingobacteriaceae bacterium ADB_BD033. RNAcentral's name for it is "bacterial SSU rRNA". It matches the Rfam family "Bacterial small subunit ribosomal RNA", at positions 138 to 940 of the family's 1533-position model. Lineage: Bacteria; Pseudomonadati; Bacteroidota; Sphingobacteriia; Sphingobacteriales; Sphingobacteriaceae. The record is from RNAcentral.